GGUUAAGCGACUAAGCGUACACGGUGGAUGCCCUGGCAGUCAGAGGCGAUGAAGGACGUGCUAAUCUGCGAUAAGCGCCGGUAAGGUGAUAUGAACCGUUAUAACCGGCGAUUUCCGAAUGGGGAAACCCAGUGUGAUUCGUCACACUAUCAUUAACUGAAUCCAUAGGUUAAUGAGGCGAACCGGGGGAACUGAAACAUCUAAGUACCCCGAGGAAAAGAAAUCAACCGAGAUUCCCCCAGUAGCGGCGAGCGAACGGGGAGGAGCCCAGAGCCUGAAUCAGCAUGUGUGUUAGUGGAAGCGUCUGGAAAGGCGCGCGAUACAGGGUGACAGCCCCGUACACAAAAGCGCAUGUGCUGUGAGCUCGAUGAGUAGGGCGGGACACGUGGUAUCCUGUCUGAAUAUGGGGGGACCAUCCUCCAAGGCUAAAUACUCCUGACUGACCGAUAGUGAACCAGUACCGUGAGGGAAAGGCGAAAAGAACCCCGGCGAGGGGAGUGAAAAAGAACCUGAAACCGUGU
This 521-nucleotide ribosomal RNA is filed under the name Salmonella enterica subsp. enterica serovar Muenchen. Its description in RNAcentral is "partial 23S ribosomal RNA". It matches the Rfam family "Bacterial large subunit ribosomal RNA", at positions 1 to 561 of the family's 2925-position model. RNAcentral also lists the same sequence under 5 other names. Lineage: Bacteria; Pseudomonadati; Pseudomonadota; Gammaproteobacteria; Enterobacterales; Enterobacteriaceae. The record is from RNAcentral.